Molecule: non-coding RNA, 6388 nt
Organism: Oryctolagus cuniculus (rabbit)
Lineage: Eukaryota; Metazoa; Chordata; Mammalia; Lagomorpha; Leporidae
Source: RefSeq, a predicted model, not a curated record
CGCCGCCACCAGCAGGCUGAGCCGAGUCCUCGCGCCGCAGGCGCUGCCGGCGCCCGGCUUGGCCGCGCCGCCCUCGUCGCCGCCGCGCCACCCCUCGUCCUGCAGCGGCGGCCGUCCGUCCAGAGAGAUGUUGCAUGAUGAUGAUCAAUCAACAGACACAAGAGUGAGUGCUUGGAGCAGUGUGAAUGCUGAAGAUGCCGUGCUGUUCAUUGUCUCCUGACCAACCAGAACUCUACGAGAAGUGCCAAACACACAUACAAAUGAAGAAUAGUACAAGGAACCCCCAUGGAUCUGUCAUCUGGUAGUUUCAACAGUCACCAACUCAGAGAUGAUCAUGAACCUUUUGGAUAAACUUCUUGAUACUUCUUGGCUUUUUUAAGCCAAAAAGGACUGAGGUGAAACCCUUGUUUAAUUCUCCGGAACUGCAGCCUUCCUUAGCACAUUCCUCCUGAUUUGCUAGACGGGAACCCUUGUUGUAGCCACCUUCUUGGCUGCCACUGUCUUCUGAGAACAGACAAAUGCUCAGAUAGGUCAAGGAUGUGCAGAUGCGCGGAUUCGGCAGAGGGAGAUGCGUGGCCGCUGUCUGGAGGAUGCACGUCUCGUCACUACUCUGUGCUGCGUCUGUGAUCGUCUGCUGAUCUGCAGUGGGCAGCCGGGAGCCACAUCUCCCGUUUGGCGGAGUGCAAUGCAGCUUAACACCAUCUGCGUAUCACUCCUGCUUCUGCUUCUGGUGUUUCCUGGAAAGCUCUCCAGCAGCCCUCCUGUUCUGUUCCCUGCCUGUCCUGUUGAUUUGGAAAAGGGUGUCCCUCUGUGAAGAUUAGGAGCUGUAGCAGCGUUCCUGUACCAUCGUUAUUGAUGUGGACCACACCAGAGUGAUUCUAGCAACCUGCCUAAAACCUCACAGUUCUGCAGCGAGGCAGUCUGGAGUGCAGGUCUCUGCCAGAAGAGAACCUACAGUUUGCUCGGCCUGGCUUCUCAUUCUCUCUGCUUUCGUCAAGGUCUUAGUCAUCCUGUCCAGCAUGACCAGUUUUAAAUUAUUCAUUUAUUUAAUUUACUUGAAAGGCAGAGAGAGUGACAGAGAGCUCCUAUCCACUGAUUCACUCCCCAAAUGCUGGCAACAUCUGGGGCUGGGCCAGGUGGAAGUGGGUACCCAGCAACUCAGUCCAGGCCUCUCAUGUGGGUGGCAGGGACACAACUACUAGGAUCAUCACCUGCUGCUUCCCGAGUCUCUGUUAGCUGGAAAGUGGAGCUCGGAACAGCUGAGACUCAAACACAGGCACUGUGAUGGUGGAUGCCGGCAUUCCAAAUGGCAUCUUUACUGGCACACCCCCAGCAAGACCACUUAAACGGCUACCAGGGAGCCAACAGAUCACGGUUGUGAGUUGUGGUCUAUAAACACAUGGAGACAAGUGGUUGUGGGAGCUGAAAAGUGUAUGUGGAAGCUCUUUGUAAGCUACCAAAUCCUAUUCAAUAAAGACAUGAUGUUGAUACAAACAGCACAUGGCACCUCUGGGUGAGCAAGUCAUUGGGUUGAAUUCUGUCUGCAUCAUCUCAUUUAAUCCUCAGAACAAUUUCUAAUGUUUUGUUAUUAUUUUCUUAUAUAUGAGAGUACAAAUAUAGCAACAGCAUAAAGGUGUUUGACAAGGCAGCUUUUAAUGCCACGGAGAGUACUCUAGGCAAAGCCCUCUCCAAACCGUUGAUGUUUACUAGAAAAAUGCGAGAGGAACAAGAAAGGCUGAUGGGCACCACAGACAAGCCCAGACAGGCAGCUCAUCAGAGCUUUCUCUGGGGGUGCGUUCAUGCCUCAUCGCUCACAUCCCAGGGAUUUCCGGGCGGGACGGUUUGUUUUAGGUGGCAGCUUGACUGGCUAUGGAAUGCCUGGAGAGCAGCUGGAGCGCUUCUGCUGGCUGUGAGGAUGUUCCCGGAUGAGCCUGCAUGCACGCUCCACACUCAUUUUGGAGGGAUGGCGUCCAAGCAGAACAAGAAGGUGAAGGAAAGGCAAAUUCUGUCUCUCUCCCAGAGCUGGGACAGCCUUCUUCUCCUGCCUUUGGACAUCUGAACUCCAGGCUCUCCAGACUUAGGCCAGUGACCCCCACCCUUGACCUUGCACUGAGUUACACCAGUGACGUCCCAGGUUCUGAGGCUUUGGGGCUUGGGUGGAGCCACAGGACCAGCAUUCCAGCAUCUGCAGCUUGCACACAGCCCACCCUCCUCUGUGAUCACACGAGCAUAUUCUGCUGGGAGACCCUCCCUCUGCUUUCUCUCUGUAGAUCCAGCGAACCCUGGCUAACAUACUAAGCAUCUCAAAAUAUUAUUCUUGGGGGCCGGUGCUGUGGUGUAGCAGGUAAAGCCACUGCCUGGAGUGCCAGCAUUCCUUAUGGGCACCUGUUCGAGUCCCGGCUGCUCCUUUUCCAAUCCAGCUCUCUGCUAUGGCCUGGGAAAGCAGCAGAAAAUGACCCAAGUGCUUAGGUCCCUGCACCCAUGUGGGAGACCUGGAAGAAGCUUCUGGCUCCUUCCAGUCAUUGUGGCCAUCUGGGGUGGGGGGGGGGUGAACCAGCGGAUGGAAAACCUCUCUCUCUGCCUCUCCUUCUCUCUCUGUGUAACUCAGACUUUCAAACUAAUAAAUAAAUCUUUAAAAAUUAUUCUUAAGAAUUAUUGUGUAGCAGAGACCUGCAACUUACAUAGAACAAAUCAUCCACUGCCAAUCCUGUGGUCCGAGCUCCUGCAGCUUCUUCCUCACUCUGGUUCAUUCAUAAAACAAAGGAAAAGCCUUCAGAGGAAGGGAAUGUGAGACUGAAGACAGUGAAGAAAGAACCAGAGGUUGAGAAGACGAGAUGCCAGCUUCUUUCAGGAUGAUGUUACUUCCUUUUGCAAAAUAUUAGCUCGCCAAGGCAUAUGUAGCAAUGGGCUUCCUAAAUGUCUAACAAAGAGAAAAUGAUAAACUACAGUGUUGUUUUAAAGACAUAUAAUGGAAUAGUUGGAGAUGAUUAAAAUGAAAAUUUUGAGGGGCAGACCUUGGCACAGCUGUUCAGACUCCACUUGGGAUGGCUGCCUCCUAUGUUGGAGAGCCUAGGUUCAAGUCCUGGCUCUGCUCUCCCUUCUGGCUUCCUGCUAAUGCACACCCUGGGAGGCACAGGUGAGGGCUCAGGUAGCUGGGCCCUGCCAUCCAUGUGAAGGACCCAGAUGGAGUUCCUGGCUCUUGGCUGUGGUCUGCCCCAGCCUUGGCCUUUGCAGGCGUUCAGGGAAUGAGCCAGCAAAUGGAAGAUCAUUCUGCUCUCUCUCUCUCUCUCGCUCUCUCUCUCUCUCUCUCUCCCUCACCUAUUCAAAUAAAAAUAAAUAAAUAAGGGAAAAAUUUUAAUGUCUGAAAAUAAUAUAGUGAAAAUUAGGUUAUAAAACUGUAAGUAAGUAUGAUCAGAAAGCAGUUUUAUAUACACAUAUGUAAUAUAUACCUUAAAAUGUUAACAGAAAUUAUUGUUGGAUAUUGGGGUUGUGAGGUUUUUAAUUUAAUUAUUAUGCUUUUCAUUAUUUUUCAAGUAUUUACAAUGAGCAUUUGUUAUUUUUAUAAUAAAAGGUGGAUAUGAAAUAGUAAAGAGACUGUAGUUGUGGUUUUAAUGCAGAUAAGAGUUUCCAAAAACAGGGACUGGCACUGUGGUGUAGAGGCUAAGCCUCAGCCCGCAGCGCUGGAAUCCCAUAUGGGUGCCGGCUCGAGUCCCAGCUGCUCCACUUCUCAUCCACCUCUCUGCUAUGGCCUGGGAAAGCAGUGGAAGAUGGCCCAUAUGGCAUCCCAUACAGGCACUAGUUCAAGUCCCAGCUACUCCCCUUCCCAUCCAGCUUCCUUCUAAUGGCCUGGGAAAGCAGUAGAAGAUGUCCCAAGUGCCUGGGCCCCUGCACCCAUGUGGGAGACCCGGAAGAAGCUCCUGGUUCCUGGCUCCCAGCUUAGGAUCGGCCCAGCUCUGGCAAUUGUGCCAUUUGGGGAGUGAACCAGCGGAUAGAAUAUCUUACUCUGUAUCUCUCCCUCUGUCUGUAACUCUGCCUCUCAAAUAAAUAAAUCUUUAAAAAAAUAAACAAAUAGAAAACAAAGCAAAGUUUAGAUUAGCGUUUCCCAGCCAUUGGCCAGCCGUCAGGGAGAGGGGAGAGGCACAGUCACAGUACUCCGUGGACAGGGCUUUCGUGGGGAUCUAUGAGAGCACCUAGGCCUCAAGUGUGUGCAACAGAGCGCAGCUCGGGGUCAAGGGCAUGGGUGAGCUCCCUUCUAGCUUCCUGCUCGAAGUUUCCAGCUAGAAGAAACAGUGCCCUGUUUGCUGUUGGAACUGUCUUUGACUCUCCCGUGCUCCUACUUGCUAGUUUGGAACAUUAUUAAGCUCCUUGCGCUCUCUGGCUUGAUAUAGCGUGAAUGCUACUGGAGGAUUGGAGAGGGGAGAAGGGGGAAACUCCCCAUCCCCAAGAUCUAACCACUUGCCCCUUAUGGCCAUCCCCAAUAACUAGGGCCAGGUCUAUGUAACCAGAGGAGAAGGCACUGGCAGGAAGAGGACUCUGUGUUGUGCUAGCCAGCGUGUUCCAGAGGAGCGGAGAAAGCGUGGAUGGACUGGAUUCUGAGGGUGCCGGCUCAGUGAAAAUGGAACACAAGGUUGGCCAAAGGAGAGUUUCCCAGUGUGGGAGCCCUCUCCCAGUGUACAGGACACGGCGGCCUGACAAGGGCUCCAGGGGACAGUGCUACCUGCUGAGCGCAUGGCUCUCAGAGGCGGAAAAGCACCGAGAAGCUCAGCGUUACCAGACCCAUUGAGAAACUGAUGGCACUGUCCUCCCUAUCUCUCUGCCUGGAGUGGGGUUCCAGUUUGCAGCCCCCUAGGGUCUGGUGACAGAGUCCUGGGCUCCAUUUAUGCCCCCUCUUCUCCCUGUGCUUCCAGCCUUAGUAGCUUCCCGUGGUUGCUACCCUGGCCUCUGCACACUUUCAUCCCUCAUGCAAACAAUUCUCCUUGAUUAAGUUCUCUCCAAAAUAGCCACACUGGUUCCUGGGACCCUGACAAUACAAUAGGUGAUAAUUCAGGAUUGUGCUGGGAAAUGCACUCCAGCUUAAAGGCCCAGGGAGGUCAUUCCAAGGAUCUCUAUGACAGCCAUACAAUGCAGAGGCCGCAUACACCAGGGCCUGUGUGUGCAGAGAAUCAUAAAUAAGCCUGUGUCAAAGAAAAACAAAUUGAAUAUCUUGAUAAUCCGGGUUUGAAGGUGGGUUAUGCUAUCCAGAGAAGCGAUUUAUGGCCUCAGGAAUGUGCUUGUUGAUUCCUGAGACCUUCAAACAGAGCUUGCUCUCUCGAGAAGGCACCUCCUGGGAGCACCCACAUCUAAGAGAACCUCAACAGAGCCUGGACACAGGACGACAGCUCCGCCGCUGUGCUGAGCGUCUCAGGGCAACAGCACAUAUGUAAUUCUUUAAAAAUCAUCUUGGGGUAAUUACUAGCUGCUUUUGAAAUAAAAAAAAAUGCUCAACUCUGUAUUUAUUGUCAGGAUCAUAAUUUGUGAAAUAAAAGAAUUACCAGCUGUGAGAGUUUUGUCACCAAUGGAAAUCCACGUGCUAGUGGCUGGUGGAGAACAGUUCCUGGCUGUGCCCCAUACACAAAGAGGGAAAUCAAAAUGCAUGCAUACACAUGCAAAUCUCAAGUCAUCAAUGAACAAGAGUGAGCCGCUCACGUGGCCUGGCUUGAGUAGUGUCUAUUGCGCAGAGCUCUGAAGGAUGGCAAGGCACUGUGCAGGCGUGAGCAGAAUGGGAAUUCAGGAAGAGCCAAGAGCAUCAGCUGAGAGAGUGAGCAACAGCCAGUGAGACUAGAGCAGGGGUGAACGCGACGGUGGGGCUGGCACUGUGGCGCAGCUGGAAGCUGCCCCUGUGACACUAGCAUCCCAGAUCAGAGUACGGUUAGCAUCCCAGCUGCUCUCCUCUGGUUCCCUGCUUAUGCGCUUGGGAAAGCAGAGGAAGAUAAGUACCUGGGCCCCUGCCAUCCAUGUGGGAGACUGGGAUGGAGUUCCUGGCUCCUGGCUUUGGCCUGGGCCUGUGGCCAUCUGGUGAGUGAACCAGCAGAUGGAAGAUUCUUUUUCUCUCUCUUUCACUCUGCCUUUUAAAUAAAACAAAGAAGUACUUUUUAGAAAUGAGACCUGCUAGGCCGGUACCGCGCCUCACUAGGCUAAUCCUCCACCUUGCAGCGCCGGCACACUGGGUUCUCGUCCCGGUCAGGGUGCCGGAUUCUGUCCCGGUUGCCCCUCUUCCGGGCCAGCUCUCUGCUGUGGCCAGGGAGUGCAGUGGAGGAUGGCCCAAGUGCUUGGGCCCUGCACCCCAUGGGAGACCAGGAAAAGCACCUGGCUCCUGGCUCCUGCCAUCGGAUCAGCGCGUGCGCCGGCC